Neltuma alba is the source of this 787-nucleotide long non-coding RNA. RefSeq lists it as uncharacterized. The transcript has 2 exons. The record is from RefSeq and is a predicted model, not a curated record. Lineage: Eukaryota; Viridiplantae; Streptophyta; Magnoliopsida; Fabales; Fabaceae.
UCUGCAGAGAAGGGCCAACGGUACAUGACAAAAAGAGCCCUUAAUUAUUCAUUCCCUUUUCUCACUCAUGAUUCACCCUUCGGUCCUUUGCUCUUCAGAAGUCUCCUUGCCAUUCCUCCUUUGCUCCUCCUGGACAGAAUGAGUUGCCGCUAGUGAAGUCACCGUCGAGUCACGGUUUGAAGGCGCCGGUGAGGUCUUUCUUAGCUCUGCAGAAGAAGAUCAUUCUAAUUCAUCCAUCAUAUGUUUGCAAUCGUUGGUGUGAAGCAUCCUCCGGUGGUAGUUUGGUGAGGUCAACGUUGGUGGUUCCUUGGCUCAGAUCCGCUGCUCAGAUUUCCUCCAACCUUAGUUUUUUUUCCAUCUCAGUGCUGGCUUAAGGGGUGUUUUGGUCUUUCAUAGAUGUUUUUGCUUGGUUUCAGCCCAAACGUGAGCAGACCUUAGUGGUGGUUGACAUUUUGCUUCACUGGUGGGUUGAUUUUCAGUACUAGCUUCAUUUGUUUUGCUUGGUUCAUAGCUGAUUUCGAUUUGCUUGGUUCAUAGCUGUUGAAACCGUGUCACAAAAUUGCUCUGUUCGGUUUCAGGGAUGUGGCUUUGAAGAUAGAGGACCUGUUUUUGGUCCAUGUAGAUGAUGACAUUAGUUUUUUUAAGAUAAACAAUCCUUGUACUUCUUUGUAAUCCUGUUGUUAAUGAAAGUUUCGAUGUUGUAGUUUGGGCGUAUUCAAGAAUUAACACAAAAUAUUAUUGUGAUUAUAUAUGUCCAAAUUAAUGAAAUAAUUGUAUUUCUAAAACA